UACGUAGGGUGCAAGCGUUAAUCGGAAUUACUGGGCGUAAAGCGUGCGCAGGCGGUUCUAUAAGACAGAUGUGAAAUCCCCGGGCUCAACCUGGGAACUGCAUUUGUGACUGUAGAGCUGGAGUACGGCAGAGGGGGAUGGAAUUCCGCGUGUAGCAGUGAAAUGCGUAGAUAUGCGGAGGAACACCGAUGGCGAAGGCAAUCCCCUGGGCCUGUACUGACGCUCCAUGCACGAAAGCGUGGGAGCAAACAGG
RNAcentral lists this ribosomal RNA (253 nucleotides) under uncultured bacterium. RNAcentral describes it as "partial 16S ribosomal RNA". It matches the Rfam family "Bacterial small subunit ribosomal RNA", at positions 524 to 776 of the family's 1533-position model. The record is from RNAcentral.